GACGAACGCUGGCGGCGUGCUUAACACAUGCAAGUCGAACGCUGAAGCUCAGCUUUUGUUGGGUGGAUGAGUGGCGAACGGGUGAGUAACACGUGAGUAACCUGCCCCCUUCUUUGGGAUAACGCCCGGAAACGGGUGCUAAUACUGGAUAUUCACUGGUCCUCGCAUGGGGGUUGGUGGAAAGGGUUUUUCUGGUGGGGGAUGGGCUCGCGGCCUAUCAGCUGGUUGGUGGGGUGACGGCCUACCAAGGCUUUGACGGGUAGCCGGCCUGAGAGGGUGACCGAUCAGAGUGGGACAGAGGUACGGCCCAGACUCCGACGGGAGGCAGCAGUGGGGAAGAUUGCGCAAUGGGGGAAAGCGUAAUGCAGCGACGACGCGUGAGGAAUGAAGGCCUUCGGGUUGUGAACCUCUUUGGCUCAUGGUCAAGCCGCAACAAUGGUUGUGGUGACGGUAGUGGGUAAAGAAGCGCCGGCUAACUACGUG
This 483-nucleotide ribosomal RNA is filed under the name uncultured bacterium. Its description in RNAcentral is "partial 16S ribosomal RNA". It matches the Rfam family "Bacterial small subunit ribosomal RNA", at positions 28 to 507 of the family's 1533-position model. The record is from RNAcentral.